AACGGCGGCCGUAACUAUAACGGUCCUAAGGUAGCGAAAUUCCUUGUCGGGUAAGUUCCGACCUGCACGAAUGGCGUAAUGAUGGCCAGGCUGUCUCCACCCGAGACUCAGUGAAAUUGAACUCGCUGUGAAGAUGCAGUGUACCCGCGGCAAGACGGAAAGACCCCGUGAACCUUUACUAUAGCUUGACACUGAACACUGGUCCUUGAUGUGUAGGAUAGGUGGGAGGCUUUGAAGCGUGGACGCCAGUCUGCGUGGAGCCGUCCUUGAAAUACCACCCUUUAAUGGCUGGUGUUCUAACGUAGACCCGUGAUCCGGGUUGCGGACAGUGUCUGGUGGGUAGUUUGACUGGGGCGGUCUCCUCCCAAAGAGUAACGGAGGAGCACGAAGGUUAGCUAAUCCUGGUCGGACAUCAGGAGGUUAGUGCAAUGGCAUAAGCUAGCUUGACUGCGAGAGUGACGGCUCGAGCAGGUGCGAAAGCAGGUCAUAGUGAUCCGGUGGUUCUGAAUGGAAGGGCCAUCGCUCAACGGAUAAAAGGUACUCCGGGGAUAACAGGCUGAUACCGCCCAAGAGUUCAUAUCGACGGCGGUGUUUGGCACCUCGAUGUCGGCUCAUCACAUCCUGGGGCUGAAGUAGGUCCCAAGGGUAUGGCUGUUCGCCAUUUAAAGUGGUACGCGAGCUGGGUUUAGAACGUCGUGAGACAGUUCGGUCCCUAUCUGCCGUGGGCGCUGGAGAAUUGAGGGGGGCUGCUCCUAGUACGAGAGGACCGGAGUGGACGCAUCACUGGUGUUCGGGUUGUCAUGCCAAUGGCACUGCCCGGUAGCUAAAUGCGGAAAAGAUAAGUGCUGAAAGCAUCUAAGCACGAAACUUGCCCCGAGAUGAGUUCUCCCUGACCCUUUAAGGGUCCUGAAGGAACGUUGAAGACGACGACGUUGAUAGGUCGGGUGUGUAAGCGCAGCGAUGCGUUGAGCUAACCGAUACUAAUGAACCGUGAGGCUUAACCUU
This 1005-nucleotide ribosomal RNA is filed under the name Enterobacter cloacae. Its description in RNAcentral is "bacterial LSU rRNA". It matches the Rfam family "Bacterial large subunit ribosomal RNA", at positions 1926 to 2925 of the family's 2925-position model. Lineage: Bacteria; Pseudomonadati; Pseudomonadota; Gammaproteobacteria; Enterobacterales; Enterobacteriaceae. The record is from RNAcentral.